RNAcentral lists this ribosomal RNA (501 nucleotides) under uncultured Glomeromycotina. RNAcentral's name for it is "partial small subunit ribosomal RNA". It matches the Rfam family "Eukaryotic small subunit ribosomal RNA", at positions 591 to 1092 of the family's 1831-position model. Lineage: Eukaryota; Fungi; Glomeromycota. The record is from RNAcentral.
CCAAUAGCGUAUAUUAAAGUUGUUGCAGUUAAAAAGCUCGUAGUUGAAUUUCGGGGUUUAUCCGUUGGUCGGGCUUUUUGGUCUGUACUGGCGUGAUGGAUUCCUACCUUCUGAAUAACCAGCAUGCCAUUAAUUUGGUGCGUUGGGGAGGCAGGACUGUUACCUUGAAAAAAUUAGAGUGCUUAAAGCAGGCUAUUGCCUGAAUACAUUAGCAUGGAAUAAUGAAAUAGGACGCAUGGUUCUAUUUUGUUGGUUUCUAGGAUCACCGUAAUGAUUAAUAGGGAUAGUUGGGGGCAUUAGUAUUCAAUUGUCAGAGGUGAAAUUCUUGGAUUUAUUGAAGACUAACUUCUGCGAAAGCAUUUGCCAAGGAUGUUUUCAUUAAUCAAGAACGAAAGUUAGGGGAUCGAAGACGAUCAGAUACCGUCGUAGUCUUAACCAUAAACUAUGCCGACUAGGGAUCGGACGAUGUUAAUUUUUUAAUGACUCAUUCGGCGCCUUACG